UACAGAGACGUCGAGCGUUGUUCGGAUUCAUUGGGCGUAAAGGGUGCGUAGGCGGUCGGGUAAGUCGGACGUGAAAUCCCAGAGCUUAACUCUGGAAGGGCAUCCGAAACUACCUGGCUCGAGGACUGGAGGGGAGACUGGAAUUCUCGGUGUAGCGGUGAAAUGCGUAGAUAUCGAGAGGAACACCUGUGGCGAAGGCGGGUCUCUGGACAGUUCCUGACGCUGAGGCACGAAAGCUAGGGUAGCAAACGGG
Molecule: ribosomal RNA, 253 nt
Filed under: uncultured prokaryote
Description: partial 16S ribosomal RNA
Rfam family: Bacterial small subunit ribosomal RNA
Source: RNAcentral